This 440-nucleotide ribosomal RNA is filed under the name uncultured bacterium. Its description in RNAcentral is "partial 16S ribosomal RNA". It matches the Rfam family "Bacterial small subunit ribosomal RNA", at positions 338 to 795 of the family's 1533-position model. The record is from RNAcentral.
CCUACGGGUGGCAGCAGUAGGGAAUAUUGCUCAAUGGGGGAAACCCUGAAGCAGCAACGCCGCGUGGAGGAUGAAGGCUUUCGGAUUGUAAACUCCUUUUGUUAGAGAAGAUAAUGACGGUCUCUAACGAAUAAGCACCGGCUAACUCCGUGCCAGCAGCCGCGGUAAUACGGAGGGGGCAAGCGUUAUUCGGAAUCACUGGGCGUAAAGGGCGCGUAGGCGGGAGAGCAAGUCAGAUGUGAAAUCCUAUGGCUUAACCAUAGAACUGCAUUUGAAACUGUUAUUCUAGAGUAUGGGAGAGGUAGGUGGAAUUCUUGGUGUAGGGGUAAAAUCCGUAGAGAUCAAGAGGAAUACUCAUGGCGAAGGCGACCUGCUAGAACAUAACUGACGCUGAUGCGCGAAAGCGUGGGGAGCAAACAGGAUUAGAUACCCUUGUAGUC